Molecule: ribosomal RNA, 468 nt
Filed under: uncultured bacterium
Lineage: Bacteria
Description: partial 16S ribosomal RNA
Rfam family: Bacterial small subunit ribosomal RNA
Source: RNAcentral
GACGAACGCUGGCGGCGUGCUUAACACAUGCAAGUCGAACGGAAAGGCCCUGCUUUUGUGGGGUGCUCGAGUGGCGAACGGGUGAGUAACACGUGAGUAACCUGCCCUUGACUUUGGGAUAACUUCAGGAAACUGGGGCUAAUACCGGAUAGGAGCUCCUGCUGCAUGGUGGGGGUUGGAAAGUUUCGGCGGUUGGGGAUGGACUCGCGGCUUAUCAGCUUGUUGGUGGGGUAGUGGCUUACCAAGGCUUUGACGGGUAGCCGGCCUGGGAGGGUGACCGGCCACAUUGGGACGGAGAUACGGCCCAGACUCCAACGGGAGGCAGAAGGGGGGAAUAUUGCAAAAUGGGCGGAAGCCUGAUGCAGCAACGCCGCGUGCGGGAUGACGGCCUUCGGGUUGUAAACCGCUUUCGCCUGUGACGAAGCGUGAGUGACGGUAAUGGGUAAAGAAGCACCGGCUAACUACGUG